Felis catus (domestic cat) is the source of this 551-nucleotide long non-coding RNA. RefSeq lists it as uncharacterized. Lineage: Eukaryota; Metazoa; Chordata; Mammalia; Carnivora; Felidae. The transcript is spliced from 3 exons. The record is from RefSeq and is a predicted model, not a curated record.
UGCGGACCCUGGCGGAGACCGCCCGCCCUGUGGACGUGGCCGAGCCCCGUGAAGGCUCCUCCACGAACUCAGGAUCCUGACGGCGGGUGCGGAGACCGGCUUCCCUGGCGGUGUCCCCGGCCGAGCCUCCCAGGUUCUACUGCAAAUUUGGAUUACUUAUUACCAGUCUGGUCUGAACUUAGCUAAAUCAGAGUUCUCCAUCCAGAAGCCAACCAUCUAUAUUAUAAUGCUCAGUGGCCAGCGGCAGGGAAGAGGAGUCGUGGUUUCAAAUGAUCGCGUGGCUAAAAAUCAAAGUAUGGAAAUGCUUCCCGGCGAAGCUCGCCCCUUUCCGCCGUGCAGCACAAACCGUAACUGCAGUCUGGAUGGCAUGGGGAUUGCAGAAAGAGUGCAAAUAAAAUGCAGAUUUGUUUCCAUUUCAUUCCAUUCCAACGGCAGUUAUUCAUAACAGAUAAUGUGCAGCCGCUGCAUUUCCCAGAUGCAAUGUGCUAAGGGUUUUGUGCAGUUAAAAUUGGUUUUAUAGGCAAGGGAAAUGCCACCAGCCCUGCAAAAUU